UCCCAGGUGGCUCACUGGUAAAGAAUCCGCCUGCAAUGCAGGAGACUCAGGUUCAAUCCCUGGCUUGGGAA
Molecule: transfer RNA, 71 nt
Filed under: Ovis aries (sheep)
Lineage: Eukaryota; Metazoa; Chordata; Mammalia; Artiodactyla; Bovidae
Rfam family: tRNA
About the family: Transfer RNA (tRNA) molecules are approximately 80 nucleotides in length. Their secondary structure includes four short double-helical elements and three loops (D, anti-codon, and T loops). Further hydrogen bonds mediate the characteristic L-shaped molecular structure. tRNAs have two regions of fundamental functional importance: the anti-codon, which is responsible for specific mRNA codon recognition, and the 3' end, to which the tRNAs corresponding amino acid is attached (by aminoacyl-tRNA synthetases). tRNAs cope with the degeneracy of the genetic code in two manners: having more than one tRNA (with a specific anti-codon) for a particular amino acid; and 'wobble' base-pairing, i.e. permitting non-standard base-pairing at the 3rd anti-codon position.
Source: Rfam by way of RNAcentral